AUGAGCUGCACCAUUGAGAAAGCACUUGCUGUCGCUAAAGCCCUUGUUGAAAGAUUGAGAGAUCAUGAUGAUGCAGCGGAGUCUCUCAUCGAGCAGACCACUGCCCUCAGCAAGCGAGUGGAAGCGAUGAAGCAGUAUCAGGAAGAAAUCCAAGAACUUAAUGAAGUAGCAAGAUAUCAGCCACGAUCCACACUAGUUAUGGGAAUCCAACAAGAAAACAGACAAAUCAGAGAAUUAACAACAAGAGAACAAAGAACUGCGGACAUCCCUGGAAGAGCACCAGUCUGCCCUGGAACUGAUAAUGAGCAAGUACCGAGAGCAGAUGUUCAGACUGCUCAUGGCCAGCAAGAAAGAUGACCCAGGUAUAAUAAUGAAGUUAAUAGAGCAGCACUCAAAGGAGUUGCAAGCACAUGUUGACCAAAUCACCGAGAUGGCAGCAGUAAUGAGAAAAGAUAUUGAAAUUGACGAGCAACAGGGUUGCAAGGAACAGGAGCGGGAUAUUUCAACUUGAACAAGAAAAUAAAGGCUUGAGAGAGACCCUUCAGAUAACUUGAGAAUCCUUUUUAAACCUUCGGAAGGAUGAUGCGUCAGAGAGUACAUCUCUGUCCCCCUUAGUGACUAACAGUGACCUGAGUCUGAGGAAG
RNAcentral lists this long non-coding RNA (644 nucleotides) under Mus musculus (house mouse). RNAcentral's name for it is "long non-coding RNA chr11:70358137-70358781". Lineage: Eukaryota; Metazoa; Chordata; Mammalia; Rodentia; Muridae. The record is from RNAcentral.